UACGGGGGGGGUAAGCGUUGUUCGGAAUUACUGGGCGUAAAGGGCUCGUAGGCGGCCAACUAAGUCAUACGUGAAAUCCCUCAGCUUAACUGGGGAACUGCGUGUGAUACUGGAUGGCUUGGAUUUGGGAGAGGGAUGCGGAAUUCCAGGUGUAGCGGUGAAAUGCGUAGAUAUCUGGAGGAACACCGGCGGCGAAGGCGGCAUCCUGGACCAAUAUUGACGCUGAGGAGCGAAAGCCAGGGGAGCAAACGGG
This 253-nucleotide ribosomal RNA is filed under the name uncultured bacterium. RNAcentral's name for it is "partial 16S ribosomal RNA". It matches the Rfam family "Bacterial small subunit ribosomal RNA", at positions 524 to 776 of the family's 1533-position model. The record is from RNAcentral.